RNAcentral lists this ribosomal RNA (637 nucleotides) under uncultured fungus. RNAcentral's name for it is "eukaryotic LSU rRNA". The stretch from base 235 to 388 matches the Rfam family "5.8S ribosomal RNA". Lineage: Eukaryota; Fungi. The record is from RNAcentral.
AAGUCGUAACAAGGUUUCCGUAGGUGAACCUGCGGAAGGAUCAUUACUGUGCUCUGGGUCCCCUCGGGGGCCCGACACCCCACCCUUUGUAGUUACAUGACUAUCGUUGCUUCGGCGGGACGGCCCCCUCUUGGGGGCCGCCGGGUCCCAAAUCGCCCGGAGAGCGCCCGCCGGAGGACCACAAACUCUUGCCUUUUUGAACGAGAAGUCGGAGUGAAGAAUUUAAUAAUUCAAAACUUUCAACAACGGAUCUCUUGGUUCUGGCAUCGAUGAAGAACGCAGCGAAAUGCGAUAAGUAAUGUGAAUUGCAGAAUUCAGUGAAUCAUCGAAUCUUUGAACGCACAUUGCGCCCCUCGGCAUUCCGGGGGGCAUGCCUGUUCGAGCGUCAUUACAACCAUCAAGCACAGCUUGGCAAUGGGCACCGUCCGGCUACCUCUGCGACCACUCGCGAGCGCCGGGCGUGCCCCAAAACCGUCGGCAGAGUCACGCGGACCCGCCGGGCGUAGCAGAAAAGGAAGGCUCGCGCCGACCCCUCACGUCCAAUGCGACCGCGCCUCGCGCCGUAAAACCAAUGGCCCGCAAGGGUCGUCUCCACAAGGUUGACCUCGGAUCAGGUAGGGAUACCCGCUGAACUUAA